CAUAGGAUAUUAGGACAACGUAUGUAAAAGUCAAAAAGUAGAAGUUGGCUUUUAGGAUAGCAACUACUAUCUAUGAUUAUUGAAUAUUGAAAUAGAGAGAUAUCUUAUUCCAUAUUUUCUUUAAAUAUAAUCUUGUUGAUGCUAUGUAUUGUAAAUUCAAAGUUCUUUGUCUUCAAUAUUAAUAUCUUUAUAAAACAUCCAUUCAUAUCAAAUUGAACCUUAUAUUUAAAUAAUAUAAGUUUUUUUUAUUAAAAAAAGGUUCUUUUAUAUAUUUAAUAAAUAUAAGAUUUUUUUAUGGUCUUUAAUUUCUAUAUCUAAAGAAAAAAUUUCAUAAAUAAUAUCUUUAAAAGAUAUUAAAUAGCCUAAAUUACUUCAAUUUGCUUUAUAAGUUGAUAGAACUACUCAUAGUACUAUCACUAGUUAUAUACCAAUGGAAUUAAUAUUAGGAUAAAAACCUAUAAUGUCAGUUGAAGAAACUUAUCAUACAUUGAUGUUUUCAACUUUGGAAGAUGGCAUUAAUAAAAGAAGAUUAUUAGAGCUUUGAAUCCAAUAGUUGAGAAGGUUACUUGAAGACCUACAUAUUGUAGCU
RNAcentral lists this long non-coding RNA (589 nucleotides) under Physcomitrium patens. RNAcentral's name for it is "long non-coding RNA (PPAT_LNC006153)". The record is from RNAcentral. Lineage: Eukaryota; Viridiplantae; Streptophyta; Bryopsida; Funariales; Funariaceae.